This 203-nucleotide long non-coding RNA is filed under the name Elaeis guineensis (African oil palm). RNAcentral describes it as "long non-coding RNA (EGUI_LNC069862)". Lineage: Eukaryota; Viridiplantae; Streptophyta; Magnoliopsida; Arecales; Arecaceae. The record is from RNAcentral.
UAGCUCACUAAUAAACACGUACCCUUUAAAGUGUUCUGAAUAUCUUAUAAAGAUAAAUUUCUUUCCUCUUAGAUCCAAUUUAUCAUAUUUGUGAGAGGGAUCGUGAGCAUAGGCAGCAGACCCCCAGGGUCGUAAGUUAUUUAGGUCAGAUUUUUUAUCUAUCUAUAAUGCAUAAGGUGUGGAAGGGAUUGAUUUGGAGGGCA